Molecule: ribosomal RNA, 215 nt
Filed under: Escherichia coli
Lineage: Bacteria; Pseudomonadati; Pseudomonadota; Gammaproteobacteria; Enterobacterales; Enterobacteriaceae
Description: partial 23S ribosomal RNA
Rfam family: Bacterial large subunit ribosomal RNA
Source: RNAcentral
AACCCAGACCGCCAGCUAAGGUCCCAAAGUCAUGGUUAAGUGGGAAACGAUGUGGGAAGGCCCAGACAGCCAGGAUGUUGGCUUAGAAGCAGCCAUCAUUUAAAGAAAGCGUAAUAGCUCACUGGUCGAGUCGGCCUGCGCGGAAGAUGUAACGGGGCUAAACCAUGCACCGAAGCUGCGGCAGCGACACUAUGUGUUGUUGGGUAGGGGAGCGU